CCUACGGGUGGCAGCAGUGGGGAAUAUUGCACAAUGGGCGAAAGCCUGAUGCAGCCACGCCGCGUGAGUGAAGAAGGACUUCGGGAUGUAAAGCUCUUUCAGCAGGGGAGAAAAUGACGGUACGUGUUUACGAAGCAGUGGCUAAAUACGUGCCAGCAGCCGCGGUAACACGGAGGGGGCAAGCGUUAUACGGAUUUACUGGGUGUAAAGGGAGCGUAGACGGCAGCACAAGUCUGGAGGGAAAUGCCCGGGCUUAACCCCGGAACUGCAUUCGAAACUGGGCGGCUAGAGUGCAGGAGAGGUAGGUGGAAUGCCUGGUGUAGCGGUGAAAUGCGUAGAGAUCAGGAGGAACACCGGUGGCGAAGGCGGCAUACUGGACAAAGACUGACGCUGAGGCGCGAAAGCGUGGGGAGCAAACAGGAUUAGAUACCCUGGUAGUC
This 440-nucleotide ribosomal RNA is filed under the name uncultured bacterium. RNAcentral's name for it is "partial 16S ribosomal RNA". It matches the Rfam family "Bacterial small subunit ribosomal RNA", at positions 338 to 795 of the family's 1533-position model. The record is from RNAcentral.